CCGAUACCCACACGUACAGAGGACSCACGUCCGACGUACAACGUCCGUUGGAAGGAAACUGUGCCCAGCGGCCGCGCGACACAGCGUCGCCGGUCGACAGUCGUUACCGUGGUGGUGGAAACACAAGAAUACUCGUUGACGCUUCGGGGUACCUGUCGCACGUCGUCCGUUUUGCGUGCGGUGAGCAGGCCUCGGGCUUCGGCCCCCGGUCGGCGAAGGUCCAACGAACCGUCCGCGCGAAAGCGCGUUCGGUCGCCCCGUCGCAUUCUCAGUUGCACUAUUGUCAGUCAGUUACCGGUGUCGUACGGUCGGUUACCCAGUCAGGACAACGAGAGUUACACAGAC
Molecule: unclassified non-coding RNA, 345 nt
Filed under: Limnodrilus hoffmeisteri complex sp. X
Lineage: Eukaryota; Metazoa; Annelida; Clitellata; Tubificida; Naididae
Description: internal transcribed sapcer 1
Source: RNAcentral